Molecule: ribosomal RNA, 524 nt
Filed under: Rostellascaris sp. 'oceanica'
Lineage: Eukaryota; Metazoa; Nematoda; Chromadorea; Rhabditida; Ascarididae
Description: partial small subunit ribosomal RNA
Rfam family: Eukaryotic small subunit ribosomal RNA (bases 327-524)
Source: RNAcentral
UUGCUUUUAUGGGUGAAACCCCGAACGGUGUACAAGAACAAAAUCAGGCAGUUGGAGAGCCAGUGAGUCAGGUCCCUCACCCAAAGAACGGUUAGAGUUUGAGACGCCUGUAAUUCAAUGGUGAAGGCCGUAAUAAAAAAUGGAACCACCUUGUUUAAAUCUUACCAGCGAAAAUAAAAACAGCGCCCAUAUUUCCACAGAGCUGUAGUUAGUGAUAGGUCAUGGGGGGGUAAGUCGCCCAUCAGUUAAAUGCCUAUAAUGGUGAAACCGCGAACUAGGUUUUAGCGACUGAAACGGUCUCCCCACUUACACUUAACACUUUAUUGAUGCAACGAUAUGGGCCUAUAAUGGGAAACCGCGAACGGCUCAUUACAACAGCUAUUAUAUACUUGAUCUUGAUAUCGUACGUGGAUAACUGUGGUAAUUCUAGAGCUAAUACAUGCACCAAAGCUCCGAAUUUUUGACGAGCGCAUUAUUAGAUUAAAACCAAUCGGGUUUCGGCCCGUUGUUGGGACUCGGACGGC